CAGUCGCCGCGGGAAUACGAAGGGGGCUAGCGUUGCUCGGAAUGACUGGGCGUAAAGGGCGCGUAGGCGGCGGCCAAAGUCAGGCGUGAAAUUCCCGGGCUCAACCUGGGGGCUGCGUUUGAUACUUGGUUGCUUGAGUGGGGAAGAGGGUCGUGGAAUUCCCAGUGUAGAGGUGAAAUUCGUAGAUAUUGGGAAGAACACCGGUGGCGAAGGCGGCGACCUGGUCCUUUACUGACGCUGAGGCGCGAAAGCGUGGGGAGCAAACAGGAUUAGAUACCCCGGUAGUCCCUGUCUCUUAUAC
Molecule: ribosomal RNA, 301 nt
Filed under: uncultured bacterium
Lineage: Bacteria
Description: partial 16S ribosomal RNA
Rfam family: Bacterial small subunit ribosomal RNA
Source: RNAcentral